UGGGGAAUAUUGCACAAUGGAGGGAACUCUGAUGCAGCGACGCCGCGUGAGUGAUGAAGGAAUUCGUUUCGUAAAACUCUGUUCUAUGGGAAGAAAAGGACUGUACCAUAGGAGAAAGCUCCGGCUAAAUACGUGCCAGCAGCCGCGGUAAUACGUAUGGAGCGAGCGUUGUCCGGAAUUAUUGGGCGUAAAGAGCUCGUAGGUGGUUCGUCGCAUCUGUCGUGAAAGCCAGCAGCUUAACUGUUGGUCUGCGGUGGGUACGGGCGGGCUUGAGUGCGGUAGGGGUGACUGGAAUUCCUGGUGUAGCGGUGGAAUGCGCAGAUAUCAGGAGGAACACCGAUGGCGAAGGCAGGUCACUGGGCCGUUACUGACACUGAGGAGCGAAAGCGUGGGGAGCGAACAGG
Molecule: ribosomal RNA, 404 nt
Filed under: Fusobacteriota bacterium
Lineage: Bacteria; Fusobacteriati; Fusobacteriota
Description: Fusobacteria bacterium partial 16S ribosomal RNA
Rfam family: Bacterial small subunit ribosomal RNA
Source: RNAcentral